AAAGUAGUGAUGGAAUUGGCAGACAUGAAUAGUUUAGGCCUAUUUGGUUUAAACCUUAUCCGUUCAAGUCGGAUCUACUUUA
RNAcentral lists this transfer RNA (82 nucleotides) under Gomphillus americanus. Its description in RNAcentral is "tRNA-Leu". Lineage: Eukaryota; Fungi; Ascomycota; Lecanoromycetes; Ostropales; Graphidaceae. The record is from RNAcentral.